AUUGAACGCUGGCGGCAGGCUUAACACAUGCAAGUCGAGCGGAGUGAUGGCGCUUGCACUAUCACUUAGCGGCGGACGGGUGAGUAAUGCUUAGGAAUCUGCCUAUUAGUGGGGGACAACAUCUCGAAAGGGAUGCUAAUACCGCAUACGUCCUACGGGAGAAAGCAGGGGAUCACUUGUGACCUUGCGCUAAUAGAUGAGCCUAAGUCGGAUUAGCUAGUUGGUGGGGUAAAGGCCUACCAAGGCGACGAUCUGUAGCGGGUCUGAGAGGAUGAUCCGCACGACUGGGACUGAGACACGGCCCAGACUCCUACGGGAGGCAGCAGUGGGGAAUAUUGGACAGUGGGGGGAACCCUGAUCCAGCCAUGCCGCGUGUGUGAAGAAGGCCUUAUGGUUGUAAAGCACUUUAAGCGAGGAGGAGGCUCUUUUGGUUAAUACCCAAGAUGAGUGGACGUUACUCGCAGAAUAAGCACCGGCUAACUCUGUGCCAGCCGCCGCCGUAA
RNAcentral lists this ribosomal RNA (503 nucleotides) under uncultured bacterium. Its description in RNAcentral is "partial 16S ribosomal RNA". It matches the Rfam family "Bacterial small subunit ribosomal RNA", at positions 30 to 523 of the family's 1533-position model. The record is from RNAcentral.